GGUAGUAGCUCAGUUGGUAGAGCAUCAGCUUCCCAAGCUGAGGGCCGCGGGUUCGAGCCCCGUUUACC
Molecule: transfer RNA, 68 nt
Filed under: bovine gut metagenome
Rfam family: tRNA
About the family: Transfer RNA (tRNA) molecules are approximately 80 nucleotides in length. Their secondary structure includes four short double-helical elements and three loops (D, anti-codon, and T loops).
Source: RNAcentral